Molecule: long non-coding RNA, 2959 nt
Organism: Ictalurus punctatus (channel catfish)
Lineage: Eukaryota; Metazoa; Chordata; Actinopteri; Siluriformes; Ictaluridae
Source: Ensembl
CAAUAAUACGAUAUUACAGUGUUAUAACGUGCAUUAAUGGAUUAUUAUGAUUUAUAUAUUUAUAUAGUGGGUUUUAGUGAAUACACGUAAAUACAAAUAAAAAUAAUUCUUCACACAAGUUCAACACAAAAGGUUCCUGGAAAAGGUUUAAUAAAGUAAAGUGAAUGUAAUCAGUAUGUUUGGUGUAAUGUCAGAUCUUUGUGUGGAUUAGAUCAGAAGUGAUAAAGACUCAAACGUGUUCAGCGGUGUUCCUGUAUUAUUAUUAUUAUUAUUAUUAUUAUUAUUAUUAUUAUUACUGCACGUUGAUACAGUUUCUUCACACACUUCCAGCCUGUUCCUCUGUUUAACACACACACACAUACACACACAUACACAAACAAACACAAACAUACACAUACACAAACAUAUAUAUACACAUACACACACACUCACACAUACACAAACACACACACACACAUAUACACACACACAUACACAAACAUAUAUAUACACAUACACUCACCCACAUACACAAACAUACACACACACACACACACACACACACAUAUACACACACACAUACACAAAGAUAUAUACACACACAUACACAAACACGCGCACACACACAAGGUUCACGGUAAAGGUUUAGACCCUACACAAAUAAUAAUAAUAAUAAUAAUAAUAAUAAUAAUAAUAAUAAUAAUAAUAAAACUCCAACAUAAAGUUUUAGUGAAACUCCGGCGGGAAGUUUCUUUCUUUCUUUCUUUCUUUCUUUCUUUCUUCACCUUUUCUUUCUUUUUUCUUUUUUGUCUUUUUGCUCUCAUGACAAAUAAAAAAUGGCGGUCAGUGCACUGUCUUUCCGAAGUUUGUUCUCUCGGUCAAAACUGGAGUCAAAAACAAACAAAAAAAGAACAAACAAAAAUAAUAAUUUAAUUUAAAAAAAACAACAAAAAAACAAAAACAAAACAAAAAAAACGACUAAACACAAACCGCUCGCGCUGUUCCGCGGGUAAAUAAUACUGAUUAUUCUCCGCGCGCAUGAAUGGAGAAGGGGGAAAGAGAGACGGGGGGAAAAUACCGACACACGCACGCACGCACGCACACACACACACACACACACACGCACGCGUGAGUGUGUACAGAAGGAGAAAAUGCGGUGAAUGCGCGCGGAGUGAAGGAGUAAAGGGAAGAAUGAAGAUGGGAUGAAGGGAGGCAGAAGUGGAGGAGUGAAGGGAUGAAGGAGUGGAGGAGUGAAGGGGUGAAGGAGUGAAGGAGUGGAGGAGUGAAGGAGUGGAGGAGUGAAGGAGUGAAGUAGUGGAGGAGUGAAGUAGUGGAGGAGUGAAGUAGUGGAGGAGUGAAGCGGCUCGAACGCGCGUCGGCUCGCAGUCACUUACUUUUCUGUGUCCUGUGACAUGAUGAUGUCUUUUGGACUCCUCGCCGAUAAUUCCUGGAGAAACUGGACUUUCAGCCCUGAUUCCAUUGGUCGAGGUGUGUAAGGAGGUCGGGCUGUGAUUGGCUGAGCCAGCACAGGUCCUGAAGGCCAGGAAGUGAAAUCACAGAGAAAUGAUACCAACUGAACGAAAUGUGCUUAACCUCACGGGGAAACAUAACACACGCCGAGGAAAGCGCUAUCUGCCUUCUUCCACACACACCAGCUAACAGAUCAUCACUGUGAUUGACAGGUGAGAGAGAGUAAGCCCCUCCCACCCACAGAGCAGGUCACACCUUUCCCUCUCUCACCUUUUUUGAAGUUGAAGUUAAAGUCACAAGUUCGAAUCCUGAAGAUGUCACAUGGCCGGAAGGCAAGAGACCGAAACCGGCGGUGUUUUCUGGGUGGGAGGGGCUUACUCUCCCACGCCCCUGUCAAUCACAGCGACACGAGCCAAUCACAGGCAUCUGUGAGCUGGAGUAUGAGGAAGAGGACGAGAAGAGGAUACUGUAGACAGUGCCUUCCUGCGAGUUUAGAGUUCUUACUCUGUACUUCAUCGAGUUAAUCCACUCUUUUCGUUUAGAAUUUCACAGAUUUAUGAAUUUAAACGUUCACCUCUUUAAAAAUGUUUUGUUUUUCACGCUUUUAAGAAGGUUCCCUCCCGUUUUAAAGUCUUUUUAGAAGUGAUUUCUGCAGAUUUUUAAUCUCUGAUUAACACGGAACACCCACACCACCACCAUUCCCUCAACUCGUCCAAUCACUCGCCUGCAGUAACCACUUCAUCCUGUAUUCGUAAAUAUUUAUCAUAUGUGCGGCCAAUUUCAAGACAACUACCUCAGCGUACUGUUGCACGGCACAAAUACGCAAUAUUUCUAUACUUUUUUAAAAAUAUUUCCCUUUUUCUAGUCGUAUGGAAGUAAUUGUGGUCUGUGUAAACUGUAUUUUAUGUCACGGACAGUCGUAAAAAGCCGUACUGUGUACGCUUGUGUGCGUGACGGUCGAAGGAUUGAGGUAAAAGUAGAUUUGGGAUCGAGUCGUCAGCGAUCAGCGACGGGCAGCCCUGAGACCCGACACACACGGGGUUUAUCCUGCGCCGCUCGGCGGGAAGCGAGUUUGAUGUGCAGGUGAGCGAGGCUGAAAGGACAGCGUGAUGUCAUGGAGUUGAUUCCGUUGCCGCUUGUGCAACUCGUCGUGAUGUGACUUGCCCUCCACUUAACUGUCAGCGUUAUUUCCCAGAAAUUAGCGAGGGCCGAGUGCCAUUCUCCCACGGUGCUGAGCUGAGAAAGCUUCCACGGAUCAGGCACGGACACGCCGCCAGACCUGACCAGAAAAUCAACUCCAUGACAGUUUUUAAGAAUCGGAGCGGAUUCUUCUCCACACAUUUAUACCUGACCUUAGUGCUUCACUCUUUAACUCCCUCUGAGCCUUUGACAGCUGAGACACCCGGCAGUGGAGAGGUGGAGAGGUGCUGCAUGCCUGAGAUUUCUGAGUGGUAAGAAAGGGAAACCUGUUAGGACCUGCCUGGCCUGAUCCUGUGUACCUGUUGGACAG